UACGGGGGGGGCAAGCGUUGUUCGGAAUUACUGGGCGUAAAGGGCUCGUAGGUGGCCAACUAAGUCAGACGUGAAAUCCCUCAGCUUAACUGGGGAACUGCGUCUGAUACUGGAUGGCUUGAGUUUGGGAGAGGGAUGCGGAAUUCCAGGUGUAGAGGUGAAAUUCGUAGAUAUUCGCAAGAACACCGGUGGCGAAGGCGGCCAACUGGACCAUUACUGACGCUGAGGCGCGAAAGCGUGGGGAGCAAACAGG
RNAcentral lists this ribosomal RNA (253 nucleotides) under uncultured bacterium. Its description in RNAcentral is "partial 16S ribosomal RNA". It matches the Rfam family "Bacterial small subunit ribosomal RNA", at positions 524 to 776 of the family's 1533-position model. The record is from RNAcentral.